CAUACUUCUCUAGUGUAAAAAACGAAACAGUGUUAUUAAAAUGUGCGUGGAUACGUACGCAAAAAAUGGAAACUACAAUUAUCAAUACUGUUUGAAAAAAAAACACCAACAUUUUAUUGCGUUGAUAGGAAUAAAAUAUUAUUAUGGAAAGAUGUGCUAGUAAAUUAAAACAUAUCUUUUCCCCAAUAAUUGAGGAAAGUGACAAUAUAUUUACCAACUUAUUAAUUUACAUUUUUAUUAAUUUACAAAACCGUGGUGAAUAAAAACAGAAUGAUUAAUGGAGAAGGGAAAAGGCCCAAAGGAAACUUUGUACCCUCUGAUAAAAUUCCUCUGAGAGGCCCUGACACACAUAAUGAAUGCAACCAAUAAUCUCUAUAGUCCAACAUGUACAUACGUGAUUAAAACACUGUUCGAUUACGGAGCUCAAUUGCCAUAAAUAAUAAGAAUUAAGCGUGUGACACGAUUGAGAAAAUACUUCUUUAUUGGCACAAUUUUAUUGUCAACGAAAACCACAUAUAAAUCAUUAAUUUUUAAUAAAUAAAAACAUAGUAAAGAAACGAAUAAAGAAGACUAAAUGAAAAAGUUGUUUUCAACGAUGGAACUAAACAAUUUGCGUUGAUCUAUACUAAGAAGCUGA
Colletes gigas is the source of this 637-nucleotide long non-coding RNA. RefSeq lists it as uncharacterized. The record is from RefSeq and is a predicted model, not a curated record. Lineage: Eukaryota; Metazoa; Arthropoda; Insecta; Hymenoptera; Colletidae. The transcript is spliced from 3 exons.